GCUUGGCAGCGUGCCUAAUACAUGCAAGUCGAGCGAAUGGAUUAAGAGCUUGCUCUUAUGAAGUUAGCGGCGGACGGGUGAGUAACACGUGGGUAACCUGCCCAUAAGACUGGGAUAACUCCGGGAAACCGGGGCUAAUACCGGAUAACAUUUUGAACCGCAUGGUUCGAAAUUGAAAGGCGGCUUCGGCUGUCACUUAUGGAUGGACCCGCGUCGCAUUAGCUAGUUGGUGAGGUAACGGCUCACCAAGGCAACGAUGCGUAGCCGACCUGAGAGGGUGAUCGGCCACACUGGGACUGAGACACGGCCCAGACUCCUACGGGAGGCAGCAGUAGGGAAUCUUCCGCAAUGGACGAAAGUCUGACGGAGCAACGCCGCGUGAGUGAUGAAGGCUUUCGGGUCGUAAAACUCUGUUGUUAGGGAAGAACAAGUGCUAGUUGAAUAAGCUGGCACCUUGACGGUACCUAACCAGAAAGCCGCGGCUAACUACGUGCCAACAGCCGCGGUAAUACAUAAGUGGCAAGCGUUAUCCGGAAAUAUUGGGCGUAAAGAGCGCGCACGUGGUUUCU
Molecule: ribosomal RNA, 569 nt
Filed under: Bacillus cereus
Lineage: Bacteria; Bacillati; Bacillota; Bacilli; Caryophanales; Bacillaceae
Description: bacterial SSU rRNA
Rfam family: Bacterial small subunit ribosomal RNA
Source: RNAcentral